RNAcentral lists this ribosomal RNA (455 nucleotides) under Neisseria sp. oral taxon 014. RNAcentral's name for it is "bacterial SSU rRNA". It matches the Rfam family "Bacterial small subunit ribosomal RNA", at positions 30 to 476 of the family's 1533-position model. The record is from RNAcentral. Lineage: Bacteria; Pseudomonadati; Pseudomonadota; Betaproteobacteria; Neisseriales; Neisseriaceae.
AUUGAACGCUGGCGGCAUGCUUUACACAUGCAAGUCGGACGGCAGCGGGGUAGUGCUUGCACUACUGCCGGCGAGUGGCGAACGGGUGAGUAACAUAUCGGAACGUACCGAGCAGUGGGGGAUAACUAAUCGAAAGAUUAGCUAAUACCGCAUAUCUUCUGAGGAAGAAAGCAGGGGACCUUUGGGCCUUGCGCUGUUUGAGCGGCCGAUAUCUGAUUAGCUGGUUGGUGGGGUAAAGGCCUACCAAGGCGACGAUCAGUAGCGGGUCUGAGAGGAUGAUCCGCCACACUGGGACUGAGACACGGCCCAGACUCCUACGGGAGGCAGCAGUGGGGAAUUUUGGACAAUGGGGGCAACCCUGAUCCAGCCAUGCCGCGUGUCUGAAGAAGGCCUUCGGGUUGUAAAGGACUUUGUCCGGGAAGAAAAGCGCGAUGUAAUACCAUGCGUGUGACGGA